RNAcentral lists this transfer RNA (75 nucleotides) under Nanobdellota archaeon. RNAcentral's name for it is "tRNA-Met". It matches the Rfam family "tRNA". From Rfam's summary of the family: Transfer RNA (tRNA) molecules are approximately 80 nucleotides in length. Their secondary structure includes four short double-helical elements and three loops (D, anti-codon, and T loops). The record is from RNAcentral. Lineage: Archaea; Nanobdellati; Nanobdellota.
AGCGAGGUAGGGAAGUCAGGAGUUCCCGUCGGGCUCAUAACCCGGAGAUCGCUGGUUCAAAUCCAGCUCUCGCUA